AUAUCCUCGGCAAGAUAAACCAGUUCUGAAUGUAGAUGAUGUCUUGGUGGUACAGAUGACUCCACAAAAGCAAUUUGACCCAUCAAGAGCAAAGGAAUAUUUUACAACUUGCUCAGAACGAAAUGUUGAAACAUGUUUCUGAAGUCAGUACUCCCGCUGCACUCUUCAACCUGUUGCUUGUGCUCAGUUGCAUCAGAGGACUAUCAGAAUGAGCAUCGUGAGGAGUGCGACAUUAACCCAAAUCUUAAAUGGAAGAAUACCGUUGCAUCAGGAGUUUUAUGUAGUAGAUGACCCACCCUCUCACUUCCCAUUGGUUGUCUACCAUCAGUGAAGUAUGAGUCAGAUGUGUGAUACUAUAUCCUCCAGUGGGGUGGAUGGAUACAACAUCUUCAAUUUCAGGGAGCACAAUAUCAUCCAGACUGAAGAAAUCUGCUUGACUGGCAUAUAUUAAAUAUUCACUGCUCACAAAAAUUACUUCUGAAAGAAACCACAUUGGGAUCUCCCAAUCUAAAUUGAUUUACUCCACUCCUUAAAUUGACUAUAAAUUUAUGUUGUUAGCUGUAAAAUCAACUCUUUGCAGUGCACACCAUUCAACUUCUGACUCAUUCGUUUAUACAUAAUUCCUAAUGAACCCUCUGUUGAUAAUGAAAUAUUCAAUAAGUUUUAAAAUGAGCAUUGCAAGCCCUUGACAAAAAGUUCCAGGAAUUUGAGUGAAGAUCUAUGAAUGCACAUGAUUAACAAAGAUUCCCUAUGGUGAUUAAUUCACAAAGGCACAGCCGAUUUCAAGGACAGGAGCAAUUUCUGGAGUGAUCAUUCUUUUAAACCAGGAGCAAACCUAACCAAGAAAAGAUGCCAGGUCAAAUCACUCUAUACAAGGUGAUAAUUUGGAGUUAAUUCCCAUUGCAGGCUAUGAUCAGCAAGUCUUUUCUUUUCCUUCAGCUGUUGUCUUUGCCAUACAGGAACAUGAAUAAAUGAGUCAUAUGUGUGUGAGCCUUACAUCAGUAGAUCAGGCCAUUGUUUUAAAUUAAUUGCGAAAAUUAUUUACUCUCACUGCAGUAUCCAGCAACACAGAAUAUCAAGUUAUG
Long non-coding RNA from Mobula hypostoma (lesser devil ray), 1085 nucleotides. RefSeq lists it as uncharacterized. NCBI's taxonomy places the organism in Eukaryota, Metazoa, Chordata, Chondrichthyes, Myliobatiformes, Myliobatidae. The record is from RefSeq and is a predicted model, not a curated record. The transcript is spliced from 3 exons.